RNAcentral lists this ribosomal RNA (483 nucleotides) under uncultured bacterium. RNAcentral's name for it is "partial 16S ribosomal RNA". It matches the Rfam family "Bacterial small subunit ribosomal RNA", at positions 28 to 507 of the family's 1533-position model. The record is from RNAcentral.
GACGAACGCUGGCGGCGUGCUUAACACAUGCAAGUCGAACGCUGAAGCUCAGCUUUUGUUGGGUGGAUGAGUGGCGAACGGGUGAGUAACACGUGAGUAACCUGCCCCCUUCUUUGGGAUAACGCCCGGAAACGGGUGCUAAUACUGGAUAUUCACUGGUCUUCGCAUGGGGGUUGGUGGAAAGGGUUUUUCUGGUGGGGGAUGGGCUCGCGGCCUCUCAGCUUGUUGGUGGGGUGAUGGCCUACCAAGGCUUUGACGGGUAGCCGGCCUGAGAGGGUGACCGGUGACAUUGGGACUGAGAUACGGCCCAGACUCCGACGGGAGGCAGCAGUGGGGAAGAUUGCACAAGGGGCGCAAGCCUGAUGCAGCGACGCCGCGUGAGGGAUGGAGGCCGUCGGGUUGUGAACCUCUUUCGCUCAUGGUCAAGCCGCAACAAUGGUUGUGGUGAGGGUAGUGGGUAAAGAAGCGCCGGCUAACUACGUG